This 460-nucleotide ribosomal RNA is filed under the name uncultured bacterium. RNAcentral's name for it is "partial 16S ribosomal RNA". It matches the Rfam family "Bacterial small subunit ribosomal RNA", at positions 338 to 795 of the family's 1533-position model. The record is from RNAcentral.
CCUACGGGAGACAGCAGUGCGGAAUAUUGGUCAAUGGGCGAGAGUCUGAUCCAGCCACGCAGCGUGAAGGAUGACUGCCCUAUGGGUUGUAAACUUCUUUUAUAAAGGAAUAAACUGAGGCACGUGUGCCGUUUUGCAUGUACUUUAUGAAUAAGGCUCGGCUAACUCCGUGCCAGCAGCCGCGGUAAUACGGCGGGUCCGAGCGUUAUCCGGAUUUAGUGGGUUUAACGGGAGCGUAGAUGGUUUGUUAAGUCUGUUGUGAAAGUUUGCGGCUCAACCGUACAAUUGCAAUUGAUACUGGCAGUCUAGAGUACAGGUGAGGUAGGCGGAAUUCGUGGUGUAGCGGUGAAAUGCUUAGAUAUCACGAAGAACCCCGAUUGCGAAGGCAGCUUACUAAACUGUGACUGACAUUGAUGCUCGAAAGUGUGGGUAUCAAACAGGAUUAGAUACCCCGGUAGUC